AGAUUUGAGGGUACUCUGACUGCAACAUCUAUCACCCCAUUGAUCGCCAGGAUUGAUUUGGCUGAUCUGGCUGGGUAAGCGGGUGUCCCCGUCCUCCCUCGCUGCCCCAUGUGUGCCCCUCCUAAAGCUGCAUACUCAGUUGAAGAGGACGAGAGGACGACCUUCUCUGAUAGAGGAGGACCACGCUUCAGUCAAAGGCAUACAAGUAUCUGGACUUCCCUGCUAGCACUUCCAAACAAGCUCAGAGAUGUUCCUCUUCUCGUCU
Molecule: small RNA, 265 nt
Filed under: Pongo abelii (Sumatran orangutan)
Lineage: Eukaryota; Metazoa; Chordata; Mammalia; Primates; Hominidae
Rfam family: 7SK RNA
About the family: 7SK was discovered as an abundant small nuclear RNA in the mid-70s but a possible function has only recently been suggested.
Source: RNAcentral